GGAAGGCUCGGGGCUGACUCCACGGGGACUAAACGAGCCUGCGUGGGCUGGAGGCAGCCCGAAAGCCACGAAACAGAAGUGUCUGGUUUUCCCGCAGGGGUCCGAUUUGCAACCGAAUAUUCCAAAAAUGAGCAUCUGUGUUUGGAGCGAAUUCCAGCGGGGCCGAGCUUGUCUUCUCCGGCAUGAUGGCACCGCCAGGGCUCUGGGAGGAUCUCCGGGCCAGGCGCCGGCCUAGUGACUGGGGCUGGGAGGAGCUGGGGAGGCAUGGCCAUUGGCGUUUCUGCGUAGAACCGCAGCCCAGGGAUCCCGCAUCCGGCCCCGCAGCAGUCUCGGGUUCUCUGGCGCGCCCGCUCGCCUCUCGAGAACCUAGUCCCCGCGCAGGCCUCCCCACAUCGGAGCCGGGAACACCCUCCAGCACCGUCGCAGGACCCCGAGGGUCCUACCCAGUCAUUAGCAAGAGUCGAGGCUGGAUUUUCAGCGGCCGCCUGCGUUCAGUAUAAAUGGAACGUGCUAGGAAACUCCGAUAUGCAGCGAUUUUCUAAACAUCCCGUUAUCCCUGAAACCCGUGUGGCCACCGCCAUGAGUCAUGCAAGGACUGGGCGACAGAAGCUCUGAGCUUCUAUUUGUAAAACACAGAAUAAAUCGGGAGAGCUGAAUGAAGACAAAGCCAUUUUUAAACGUUCGAUCGGUGAGAUCUCCCCCACUUAGCAAACGCUUUCAUUUUCAGAGCUGCCUGUGGCCUUACGCAGGUUCAGAAAAUCGAUUGUAUUCCUGGGUGAAUUCCACCCAGGGAACCGAGUCCUGGGAAUGCGCGCCCAUGUACACAGAAAGCCCACAUUUUAGAAGGAAUGUAUGAGUGAAAAAGAAGCAAGUAUUCCGGACGCAAAUGAGUUUGUAAAUUUACUCUCUUGCCUUCGUGGGGAUCUUCAAAUUGUUUACCCUGCUUUUAUUCCCUCUGUGGUGCUGCCACGGGUGCGCGGGCUGAGCAGGCCGCCCUUCUCCCCACUUGGAGAACUCUGAAACCUGAGGGCCUCUGCCGGAAGCUGCUGUUCGGCCCAUCCGGGUUCCCAGAGGAGCCACUUUUCCUCCUACUAGCCCGGGGAUUGCAAAGUAUCUGGAUCCUUAAAUUCUCUAUCCCAUAUGCCCAAGACUUAAGAGCCAGACCCAGAUGUGGGGCCCAACUGGGGGAAAGUAGGGGAACCCAGGGUACAGCUGGGGCCCACCCGACCAAUGCUGGCAGGCACCACAGACACCUCGGUCCACCUUUCCAAUAUUUUGCUCAAUGUUUGGGGUACCCAA
This 1299-nucleotide long non-coding RNA is filed under the name Homo sapiens (human). RNAcentral describes it as "HSALNT0382978". The record is from RNAcentral. Lineage: Eukaryota; Metazoa; Chordata; Mammalia; Primates; Hominidae.